UACAGAGGGUGCUAGCGUUGUUCGGAAUCAUUGGGCGUAAAGGGCGUGUAGGCGGUUUGUUAAGUCAUGUGUGAAAUCCCUCGGCUCAACCGGGGAACUGCGUCCGAUACUGGCGAGGCUUGAAUCCGGGAGAGGGAUGUGGAAUUCCAGGUGUAGCGGUGAAAUGCGUAGAUAUCUGGAGGAACACUAGUGGCGAAGGCGGCAUCCUGGACCGGCAUUGACGCUGAGGCGCGAAAGCUAGGGUAGCAAACGGG
Molecule: ribosomal RNA, 254 nt
Filed under: uncultured bacterium
Lineage: Bacteria
Description: partial 16S ribosomal RNA
Rfam family: Bacterial small subunit ribosomal RNA
Source: RNAcentral